Molecule: ribosomal RNA, 867 nt
Filed under: Ascocoryne sarcoides
Lineage: Eukaryota; Fungi; Ascomycota; Leotiomycetes; Helotiales; Gelatinodiscaceae
Description: eukaryotic LSU rRNA
Rfam family: Eukaryotic large subunit ribosomal RNA
Source: RNAcentral
GAAGAACCACAGGGAUUGCCUCAGUAACGGCGAGUGAAGCGGCAACAGCUCAAAUUUGAAAUCUGGCUCUUUUAGAGUCCGAGUUGUAAUUUGUAGAAGAUGCUUCGGGUGCGGUCCUGGUCUAAGUUCCUUGGAAGAGGACGUCACAGAGGGUGAGAAUCCCGUAUGUGACCAGGUGCCCGCGCCCAUGUGAAGCUCUUUCGACGAGUCGAGUUGUUUGGGAAUGCAGCUCUAAAUGGGUGGUAUAUUUCAUCUAAAGCUAAAUAUUGGCCAGAGACCGAUAGCGCACAAGUAGAGUGAUCGAAAGAUGAAAAGCACUUUGGAAAGAGAGUUAAACAGUACGUGAAAUUGUUGAAAGGGAAGCGCUUGCAAUCAGACUUGCGCGCCGUCGAUCAUCCUAGGUUCUCCUGGGUGCACUCGGCGGCGUUCAGGCCAGCAUCGGUUCCGGUGGUGGGAUAAAGGCCUUGGGAAUGUAGCUCCUCUCGGGGAGUGUUAUAGCCCUCGGUGCAAUGCCACCUACUAGGACCGAGGACCGCGCUUCGGCUAGGAUGCUGGCGUAAUGGUUGUAAGCGACCCGUCUUGAAACACGGACCAAGGAGUCUAACAUCUAUGCGAGUGUUUGGGUGUCAAACCCAUACGCGGAAUGAAAGUGAACGGAGCUAAGAACCCUUCAGGGUGCAUUAGCGACCGAUCCUGAUGUCUUCGGACGGAUUUGAGUACGAGCAUAGCUGUUGGGACCCGAAAGAUGGUGAACUAUGCCUGAAUAGGGUGAAGCCAGAGGAAACUCUGGUGGAGGCUCGCAGCGGUUCUGACGUGCAAAUCGAUCGUCAAAUUUGGGCAUAGGGGCGAAAGACUAAUCGAACCAUU